GGCUCUUCUAGGUGGGCUCCUGCUUGGACUUCUCUGUGGAUUGGAUCUCACGGGGCUUCUGCUAAUACCUCUCUGAGGCCCGCUUCGUACUGGACUUCUACUAAUACUCCUACCUUUCCUUCCCCUACCUGGGCUCCUGCUAAUACUUCUACCUGGGCUUCGGCUACCAUUUCUAACAGGACUUCUGCUGACGCUCCUGCUACCAUUUCGAACAGGACUUCUGCUGAUGCUCCUGCUCCUCAAUGGUGCUCGAGGCGGGCUUCCACUAACACUUCGAC
RNAcentral lists this unclassified non-coding RNA (278 nucleotides) under Hevea brasiliensis (rubber tree). The record is from RNAcentral. Lineage: Eukaryota; Viridiplantae; Streptophyta; Magnoliopsida; Malpighiales; Euphorbiaceae.